GACGAACGCUGGCGGCGUGCUUAACACAUGCAAGUCGAACGGAGUGGCGAACGGGUGAGUAACACGUGGGUGACCUGCCCUGCACUUCGGGAUAAGCCCGGGAAACUGGGUCUAAUACCGGAUAGUGUGGGAUGGGCCCGCGGCCUAUCAGCUUGUUGGUGGGGUAAUGGCCUACCAAGGCGGCGACGGGUAGCCGGCCUGAGAGGGUGGACGGCCACCAUGGGACUGAGGCACGGACCAGGCUCCAACGGGAGGCAGCAGGGGGGAAUAUUGCACAAUGGGGGGGAGCCUGAUGAAGCGGCGCCGCGGGGGGGAUGACGGCCUUCGGGGUGUAAACUCCUUUCGGCAUCGACGCGGUAGAUGGAGAAGAAGCACCGGCUAACUACGUGCCAGCCGCCGCGGUAAUAC
This 408-nucleotide ribosomal RNA is filed under the name uncultured bacterium. RNAcentral describes it as "partial 16S ribosomal RNA". It matches the Rfam family "Bacterial small subunit ribosomal RNA", at positions 28 to 526 of the family's 1533-position model. The record is from RNAcentral.